GAAAGAAAAUGUGUCCCAGCAUCCCCAAAAUUACAAAGAAAGACCAGCAAAUGAAAAUGGUUGAAAUGUUAUCAGAACUCUACCCUUCUCUGAAUGCAAUGAGUACAGAUGAAGUAAAGAUGUCUUUUCUCAGAAGCAGUCUUUUGGAGAUGGUAGUACUUCCUCUAUCAAGACAAACUACAGAUAUUCCUCAGAUCAGUAGUCUUCUUCAACUAGUAUAUCUAUCCUACAACUAGCCUCCAUUCACGUCCUCACUGAACACAUGGGAGGUGCUCCAAGAAGAAUCCGACUGCAGAGUAGUUUCACAAGACAAGGUCUGGGAAGCUGCAGCUCAUUGUAUUGUUGUUCAUACUGUUUGAAGCAGGCAUGGAAUGGGCAGCUGGCACCAAAUGCAAGGGUUCUUUUACGUUCCUGGAAGCAUCUCCUUCAUGCCAUAAACCAAGUCCCCCCAUGGUACUAUAACAGGCUUGGUUUUGUUCCACAGUCGCUAUCAUUAUAGAAGUGGCGCUGUACAGAAGCUUCUGCUACAUGGCUGCUGGAGUCUCAGUUUAAUAUGUUAGUAUAACCAGACACUGAUAUAACAAUUAUUUCGUACAUUUUUAUUAUCUUUCUCUUAGAUUCUUGCUCUGUUCU
Prunus avium (sweet cherry) is the source of this 633-nucleotide non-coding RNA. Lineage: Eukaryota; Viridiplantae; Streptophyta; Magnoliopsida; Rosales; Rosaceae. The record is from RefSeq and is a predicted model, not a curated record.